UUGUGGGAUAAAAAAUUGAUUUGAAGUCUAAGUUGUUAACGGAUACGAUAUGGGAAGGUUGAGCUGCUGUUUAUCUGUUCCUAGAGAUGCUAAAAUUCUGGAGAAUUUUAUCUUUAAAAAUCUUUAAAAUGUUGCAUGAUGAGUUCCUGUAUGAUGAGAGUUUAAAUUCCUACCACAGCCAUAUAUACAUGCUUGCUAGACUUUGAGCCACACAUUUAAUAUUUACUACUUAUGAGCAUUGAGUGUGGUCAAGCUGUAUAGACCCUUAGGAGCUUGUCAUGUGGUUAAAUCAAGAUUUCACUUGCACGUUCACUCAUAUAUGCUACUUCUACUCCGGAAGUACCAUCCACAUAUAUCCACUCAUUCCAUCUCCAGAAUCACCCAAAAAUAUUCUACUCCUAAUCCGGGAGAGAAUUGCCAAAAAUAUUCCUGUUUUUCCCUUGUGAAAUAAAUGCUCAAGUUAUCUUGUUACUACCACUUGCUAUAUUAUCUCAAGAGAUGAGUGCUCUAAAAAAAUAAUAAUAAUAAUACGAGGAUAUAAAAAGGAGCAAGUGCUCGGAACCUCGAAAGAAAGAAAAAGUGAGACGAGAGGUAAAAAUGGACAAGUGUCCGACAGUAGAAUUAGGGGAACAAGAUACCCACCUGAGAGAAAAGAAAAGAAAAAGAAGAGCAUCUCAUUCUCCUCAUAAAGUUUCAAAAGCAAGGAAGGUAUGUAUUCCCUCAAAGAGCAAAGUAGAAUUAGACUUCCACCACCAUUGUUAUCACCAUCAUCACCAUACACCAUUCAUUCGCCACACAUGCACAUCUUGAUUUGACUUAUUGAUUUGUUUCUUUGGAUCCAUGGUUUGACUAUACAAUAAAUGUCUUGUAAGUAUGUAUACUUUAUCUCCCACCUAUGAGCUCCAGAUAUAAAAGCCUUAUUAGAGUAGGGUGAGAGAGAAGACAAUGUCAUUAUGCUUUAUACCAUAAAUACUACAUAUCUUGAGAGAAGGCAUAUACCAUCACUGCCUUGGUAAGGAUCCAGAAAUACCACAAAAGAGAGAUUUGAGAGAAUCAUACAAGGAAUCUCUGAGUUUUAUUUGAAAAUCUGCAAAAACCCCAGAGCUAUAGCUGAUCAAGAAUAAGAGACAUGGCACUUGGCUAGACUGUUCUAUCUUUUAACCACUCAAGACAGAAGUGAUGGUUACAAGUCCCAUGGUGAAGGUAAAGUAAGUAAGUUUUAAGUCUUGACAGUUUACUCUAACUCAGAGAUGAGAUCUUAUUUAAAAAAGCAUGUGUACCGUCAAUUUUUAAAAAUAUUGCAACAACUUAUGAUCCAUAGCUGAGUCUAUCCUUGCUCAGGGACGAGCAAGAGGUAAGCUUGGGGGAGUUUGUUGACGCUCCU
RNAcentral lists this long non-coding RNA (1384 nucleotides) under Sorghum bicolor (sorghum). Its description in RNAcentral is "long non-coding RNA (SBIC_LNC016306)". Lineage: Eukaryota; Viridiplantae; Streptophyta; Magnoliopsida; Poales; Poaceae. The record is from RNAcentral.